AGUGAACGCUGGCGGUAGGCCUAACACAUGCAAGUCGAACGGUAGCACAGGAGAGCUUGCUCUCUGGGCGGCGAGUGGCGGACGGGUGAGGAAUACAUCGGAAUCUACCUUUUCGUGGGGGAUAACGUAGGGAAACUCACGCUAAUACCGCAUACGACCUACGGGUGAAAGUGGGGGACCGCAAGGCCUCACGCGAUUAGAUGAGCCGAUGUCCGAUUAGCUAGUUGGCGGGGUAAUGGCCCACCAAGGCGACGAUCGGUAGCUGGUCUGAGAGGAUGAUCAGCCACACUGGAACUGAGACACGGUCCAGACUCCUACGGGAGGCAGCAGUGGGGAAUAUUGGACAAUGGGCGCAAGCCUGAUCCAGCCAUACCGCGUGGGUGAAGAAGGCCUUCGGGUUGUAAAGCCCUUUUGUUGGGAAAGAAAUCCUGUCGAUUAAUACUCGGUGGGGAUGACGGUACCCAAAGAAUAAGCACCGGCUAACUUCGUGCCAGCCGCCGCGGUAA
Molecule: ribosomal RNA, 506 nt
Filed under: uncultured bacterium
Lineage: Bacteria
Description: partial 16S ribosomal RNA
Rfam family: Bacterial small subunit ribosomal RNA
Source: RNAcentral